RNAcentral lists this ribosomal RNA (219 nucleotides) under uncultured bacterium. Its description in RNAcentral is "partial 16S ribosomal RNA". It matches the Rfam family "Bacterial small subunit ribosomal RNA", at positions 524 to 742 of the family's 1533-position model. The record is from RNAcentral.
UACGAAGGGGGCUAGCGUUGCUCGGAAUUACUGGGCGUAAAGGGCGCGUAGGCGGCACUGUUAGUCAGGCGUGAAAGUCCUGGGCUCAACCUGGGAACUGCGCUUGAUACGGCAGAGCUAGAGGAUGGAAGAGGGUCGCGGAAUUCCCAGUGUAGAGGUGAAAUUCGUAGAUAUUGGGAAAGAACACCGGUGGCGAAGGCGGCGACCUGGUCCUUACUG